CAAUCGAACCCGGAGAUAGCUGGUUCUCCUCGAAAUAGCUUUAGGGCUAGCCUCAUGGAUCAUUGGUGGGGGUAGAGCACUGAAUGUGCGCGGGGGCCACAAAGCCUACCAAACGCUAUCAAACUACGAAUACCAUACAAUGCAGACCAUGGGAGUCAGUCCGCGAGAGAUAAGUUCCGCGGGCAAAAGGGGAACACCCCAGAUCAACCGCUAAGGUCCCCAAGUUCACGUUAAGUGGAGAAGGAUGUGGAAUUGCACAGACAACCAGGAUGUUGGCUCAGAAGCAGCCACACAUUUAAAGAGUGCGUAAUAGCUCACUGGUCGAGUGAUUGUGCGCCGAAGAUGUCCGGGGCUAAACGUGACACCGAAGCGAUGGGUGCAUCUGAAAGGAUGCGCGGUAGAGGAGCAAUGUGCAGAGGCAGAAGCCGUAUCGAGAGGCACGGUGGACACUGCACAAGAGAGAAUGCCGGUAUGAGUAGCGAGAGGCAUGCGAGAAACAUGCCCGUCGAAAGCCCAAGGUUUCCUGGGGAAGGUUCAUCCGCCCAGGGUAAGUCGGGGCCUAAGCCGAGGACGGAAGUCGUAGGCGAUGGACAGCAGGUGUAGAUUCCUGCACUACCGAUGGAAUGAAGCAGUGACACAGAAGGAUAACUCGAGCAGGGUGAUGGUCAACCCUGUGCAAGCAUCAAGGUUGGGUUGUAGUGAAGUACGCAACCCUACAAGCUGAGAUGUGAUGCGGACCGAAAUUUCAGUAGGGAAGCGAGUGAGUUCACGCUGGCGAGAAAAGCUGCUAGUACAUCCAAAGGUACCCGUACCGGAAACCGACGCAGGUGGGCGAGGAGAGAAUCCUGAGACGAACGGGAGAACCCUUGUUAAGGAACUCGGCAAAAUGACCCCGUAACUUCGGGAUAAGGGGUGCCUGCGAGAGCAGGCCGCAGAGAAUAGUCACAAGCGACUGUUUAGCAAAAACACAGGUAUCUGCGAAAGCGAGAGCUGACGUAUAGGUGCUGACACCUGCCCGGUGCUGGAAGGUUAAGGGAACAUGUUAGAGCAAUCGAAGCAUCGAACCGAAGCCCCAGUAAACGGCGGCCGUAACUAUAACGGUCCUAAGGUAGCGAAAUUCCUUGUCGGGUAAGUUCCGACCCGCACGAAUGGUGUAACGACUUGUGAGCUGUCUCAACAGGGGGCCCGGUGAAAUUGAAGUAUGGGUGAAGAUGCCCAUUACCCGCGACUGGACGGAGAGACCCCGUAGAGCUUUACUGCAGCCUGAUAUUGAGUUUCGGUAACUGAUGCACAGGAUAGGUGGGAGUCUGAGAGACAUGGGUUUCGGCUCAUGUGGAGACGGUGUUGGGAUACCACUCUUCGGUUACUGAAAUUCUAACAUAGCUCUGUGAAACCAGAGGAUGGACAGUGUCAGGUGGACAGUUUGACUGGGGCGGUCGCCUCCGAAAGAGUAACGGAGGCGCCCAAAGGUACCCUCAGAAUGGAUGGAAACCAUUCGAAGAGCGCAAAGGCAGAAGGGUGCCUGACUGCGAGAGUGACAACUCGAGCAGAGACGAAAGUCGGGCUUAGUGAUCCGGCGGUAUUGAGUGGAAAAGCCGUCGCUUAACGGAUAAAAGCUACCUCGGGGAUAACAGGCUGAUCUCCCCCAAGAGUCCACAUCGACGGGGAGGUUUGGCACCUCGAUGUCGGCUCAUCGCAUCCUGGGGCUGUAUUCGGUCCCAAGGGUUUGGCUGUUCGCCAAUUAAAGCGGCACGCGAGCUGGGUUCAGAACGUCGUGAGACAGUUCGGUCCCUAUCCAUCGUGGGCGUAGGAGUCAUGAGAGGAGCUGUUCCUAGUACGAGAGGACCGGAAUGGACGCACCACUGGUGCAACUGUUGUCGUGCCAACGGCAUAGCAGGGAAGCGAAGUGCGGAAGGGAUAAACGCUGAAGGCAUCUAAGCGUGAAGCCCACCUCAAGAAUAAGACUCCACAAUAGACCCCUGGAGGACUACCAGGUAGAUAGGUCAUCGGUGGAAGCGCUGUAAGGCGUGUAGCUUGAUGAUACUAAUCGGUCGAAAGCUUCAUUUA
This 2067-nucleotide ribosomal RNA is filed under the name human gut metagenome. Its description in RNAcentral is "bacterial LSU rRNA". It matches the Rfam family "Bacterial large subunit ribosomal RNA", at positions 830 to 2925 of the family's 2925-position model. The record is from RNAcentral.